Molecule: ribosomal RNA, 433 nt
Filed under: uncultured bacterium
Lineage: Bacteria
Description: partial 16S ribosomal RNA
Rfam family: Bacterial small subunit ribosomal RNA
Source: RNAcentral
AACGAACGCUGGCGGCAUGCCUAACACAUGCAAGUCGAACGAGACCUUCGGGUCUAGUGGCGCACGGGUGCGUAACGCGUGGGAACCUGCCCUUAGGUUCGGAAUAACUCCCCGAAAGGGGUGCUAAUACCGGAUAAUGUCUUCGGACCAAAGAUUUAUCGCCUUUGGAUGGGCCCGCGUUGGAUUAGCUAGUUGGUAGGGUAAAAGCCUACCAAGGCGACGAUCCAUAGCUGGUAUGAGAGGAUGAUCAGCCACACUGGGACUGAGACACGGCCCAGACUCCUACGGGAGGCAGCAGUGGGGAAUAUUGGACAAUGGGCGAAAGCCUGAUCCAGCAAUGCCGCGUGAGUGAUGAAGGCCUUAGGGUUGUAAAGCUCUUUUACCCGGGAUGAUAAUGACAGUACCGGGAGAAUAAGCUCCGGCUAACUACGUG